GGGCAGAGCAAGAACGGCACUUCUGACAUCAGAGGCUCCAGCUGAAAGGUUCCAAAUCUAGGAGCUGGAGUCCAUCACUCACAGGAAGAGAAGAUUAGGACACAGAGAUACCAGAGAGGUCAUUCACAGAGGAAAGACCACGUGAAGACGCAGUGGCCAUAUGCAAGCUGAGGAGAGAGGUCUCAGAAGAAACCAAUACUGCCAACGCCUUGGUCUCGGACUUCCAGCCUCCAGAACUGUCCUGGAUCAGAAGAUGCCUGACAAGAGGCCACUAUCAGCAGCAACAGCACGGUGGGGACAAACCUGAGACCUUGAUGGACCAUGGACACCAGCAGGAGAGACAGAGGAACUUGAAGUCUAAAUGGGCAGACAAGACCAACAGACACAAAGCACAGAGUGGCACAAGAGCCAUGUCUGAUGCAACAGUGACUCAGGAGGAUCACUCUGACUCAGAAUGGCCAAGCAAAGGUAUUGGGAGGAAGUGGGAUAGAACUGAGCUUUGAAGACUGUGCUAAAAUAUGUACAGACUCCCCAGGUUAUCUCAAGUUCUCUCCAGGAAUUAGCUUCACCUCUUUGUGCUUUGGCUCCACAUCAGUUAAAUAGUGAUAACAUUUGAUCGUUAAGAACCAUGUAGAAAUGAAACAAUUUUUCAAGUUUUCUAAUUAAGUGUAUUCAUUGCCACUCAAAGAUAAAUACCAUAUAAAUAUAAUAAUAAUCAUAUUGAGAAAUAAAAUAGUAAUGAUGCAGAUACUCAUGUACUGUUUCAUGUUUGUGGUCUUUGAGGGGAGUUUUUACUCAAAUAUCCCUAGAUGAAUAAAUACAUAUGGUC
Molecule: long non-coding RNA, 829 nt
Filed under: Pongo abelii (Sumatran orangutan)
Lineage: Eukaryota; Metazoa; Chordata; Mammalia; Primates; Hominidae
Description: lincRNA
Source: RNAcentral